UGCGCAGGCGGCUUAUUAAGUUAGUGGUGAAAUCUCUCGGCUCAACCGAGAAACUGCCAUUGAAACUGAUAAGCUUGAGUGUAGUUGUAGUAGGCGGAAUAUAGCAUGUAGCGGUGAAAUGCUUAGAUAUGCUAUAGAACACCGAUCGCGAAGGCAGCUUACUAAACUAUCACUGACGCUCAUGCACGAAAGCGUGGGGAGCAAACAGGAUUAGAUACCCUGGUAGUCC
RNAcentral lists this ribosomal RNA (229 nucleotides) under uncultured bacterium. Its description in RNAcentral is "partial 16S ribosomal RNA". It matches the Rfam family "Bacterial small subunit ribosomal RNA", at positions 568 to 796 of the family's 1533-position model. The record is from RNAcentral.